UAAAGAAACACAAAGCUCUCAGUCCCAGCUGUUUUCAUCUUUGUCAUGUGUGACUUUGUUCUGAGCACUCUGAACGGCUCAGAAAUCCACAAAAAAGAGGGUUAAAUUUGUAGCCUGAGCACAACACUGAGUUUCCUUUGCAGGUCAAAUAUAACACAGAGCUGAAAAAACUGCAAAGCUCCACUUGAUGUUUAAUUGCUGCUUGAAAGAGGAAAGGCCAAAAGUUAUGGAAAAAGAAAAGUCUCUCUCAAUUCCCAUGCUGCCGCUCUGGUCAGCGUUUUGAACUCUGCUGUGCUACAGCCAACUCGCCCCUCCCCCUUGCAAGCCCCAGGAAUUUUAAAUCUCAUUUCCUGCUUGCUGGCUUUCCAGAGGAGCUUCCCAAGUGAGCAUGGCUGGCUGUUGCACCAAACGCGCUCCCACUUGGACCACCGCUGAGUUGUUGGAUCUGAUCAGUAUAUGGGGCGAAGAGUCUGUUCAGUCGCAGCUGCGAGUGACCUGCCGGAAUCAGGAUACAUAUGGGCAAAUUUCUCGAGGCUCGUGCGAAAAGGGCUAUGAUCGGGACACGCAGCAGUGCAGAGCAAAGAUAAAGGAGCUGAGGCAGGCGUACCAUAAGGCAUGAGGGGAGGCGAACCAUUGCUCUGGUGGUGCACCUAAGACCUGCCACUUCUAUAAGGAGAUGAAUACUAUCCUCGGUGGUCAUCCCAACUCCAUCACCGAUAGCCCCGUGGAUUCUUCAUAGGCAACAGAAAGAGGGGGUUACCCACAGGCUGAAAUUCUGGAUGAAGAAGUGGAGCUAGAAGAGGAAGUGGAUUUCCCAGCAGGGUCGCCUGGGGCAGGCAGCCAGGAACUUUUCUCCACUCCAGAAGUGCUCAAUGUGGAGCAGGAAGCAGAUGAGAUACCAGCACAGACCUUGAAGGACACAUCAUGCACCCCUGCGGGCCAGCUUUGGCAGAUAAGAAAAAACCCUAGGCUCAGCAAAGAAGACAUGUUUCGCGAGGGGCUGCAGCACGAUGAGAGUCAGACCAGGGAACGGGAACGGAAAGAGUGCUGGAAAGCUGAAAGGCAGGACAGAAAAGAGAGUGCUGCUUUUGCUAGGCAAGCGACAGAGCGGAUGAUAAGAGUUAUGGAGGAUCAGACAGAGAUGCUCAAGUCUUUGAUACAGCUGCAGACUGAGCAGAUCCGGGCUCGACUGCCACUGCAGAACAUGCACGAUUCUUUGCCAAUCUCACCCCCUUCUAUGCCCACACAUUCCUUUUCACUUCACAGCACUCCUGAGUUUCCCCAUCACUCCACCCCCUCUCACAAGUUGCACAGUGAUAGCUGGAGCUACACACAGUUGUGAGGUUUUACCCUUUUUAACAAUAAAUAAAGGCUAAGAUA
Molecule: long non-coding RNA, 1380 nt
Organism: Mauremys reevesii (Reeves's turtle)
Lineage: Eukaryota; Metazoa; Chordata; Testudines; Geoemydidae
Exons: 4
Source: RefSeq, a predicted model, not a curated record